RNAcentral lists this ribosomal RNA (1180 nucleotides) under Salmonella enterica subsp. enterica serovar Typhimurium. RNAcentral describes it as "bacterial LSU rRNA". It matches the Rfam family "Bacterial large subunit ribosomal RNA", at positions 1 to 1213 of the family's 2925-position model. The record is from RNAcentral. Lineage: Bacteria; Pseudomonadati; Pseudomonadota; Gammaproteobacteria; Enterobacterales; Enterobacteriaceae.
GGGUUGUGAGGUUAAGCGACUAAGCGUACACGGUGGAUGCCCUGGCAGUCAGCGGCGAUGAAGGACGUGCUAAUCUGCGAUAAGCGCCGGUAAGGUGAUAUGAACCGUUAUAACCGGCGAUUUCCGAAUGGGGAAACCCAGUGUGAUUCGUCACACUAUCAUUAACUGAAUCCAUAGGUUAAUGAGGCGAACCGGGGGAACUGAAACAUCUAAGUACCCCGAGGAAAAGAAAUCAACCGAGAUUCCCCCAGUAGCGGCGAGCGAACGGGGAGGAGCCCAGAGCCUGAAUCAGCAUGUGUGUUAGUGGAAGCGUCUGGAAAGGUGCGCGAUACAGGGUGACAGCCCCGUACACAAAAGCGCAUGUGCUGUGAGCUCGAUGAGUAGGGCGGGACACGUGGUAUCCUGUCUGAAUAUGGGGGGACCAUCCUCCAAGGCUAAAUACUCCUGACUGACCGAUAGUGAACCAGUACCGUGAGGGAAAGGCGAAAAGAACCCCGGCGAGGGGAGUGAAAAAGAACCUGAAACCGUGUACGUACAAGCAGUGGGAGCACCCUUCGGGGUGUGACUGCGUACCUUUUGUAUAAUGGGUCAGCGACUUAUAUUCUGUAGCAAGGUUAACCGUAUAGGGGAGCCGGAGGGAAACCGAGUCUUAAUUGGGCGUUAAGUUGCAGGGUAUAGACCCGAAACCCGGUGAUCUAGCCAUGGGCAGGUUGAAGGUUGGGUAACACUAACUGGAGGACCGAACCGACUAAUGUUGAAAAAUUAGCGGAUGACCUGUGGCUGGGGGUGAAAGGCCAAUCAAACCGGGAGAUAGCUGGUUCUCCCCGAAAGCUAUUUAGGUAGCGCCUCGUGAAUUCAUCUCCGGGGGUAGAGCACUGUUUCGGCUAGGGGGCCAUCCCGGCUUACCAACCCGAUGCAAACUGCGAAUACCGGAGAAUGUUAUCACGGGAGACACACGGCGGGUGCUAACGUCCGUCGUGAAGAGGGAAACAACCCAGACCGCCAGCUAAGGUCCCAAAGUCAUGGUUAAGUGGGAAACGAUGUGGGAAGGCCCAGACAGCCAGGAUGUUGGCUUAGAAGCAGCCAUCAUUUAAAGAAAGCGUAAUAGCUCACUGGUCGAGUCGGCCUGCGCGGAAGAUGUAACGGGGCUAAACCAUGCACCGAAGCUGCGAAAGAAAAA